GGCAUGGUAGCUCAAUAGGUCAGAGCGUUGGACUGUUGAUCCAAAGGUUGCCAGUUCAAUUCUGGUCCAUGCCU
This is a non-coding RNA of Seminavis robusta, 74 nucleotides long. The record is from the annotation of a GenBank genome assembly. Lineage: Eukaryota; Bacillariophyta; Bacillariophyceae; Naviculales; Naviculaceae.